AUGAGUAGUUUGUCUUGGAUAUAUGAUUGUGAGAUGCAGGCAGUGUGGUUCCAGAAUCCUCCUCUAGGUAGAGUCACCCAUUUCAUGCCACUUGUCUUAGUAGGUGGGUACAAGGUAGCUAGUGAGCUGCAAUUCUCUGGAUUUAGCUCUCGAAAGAGGGUAACCAUACACUUGAAGUCAGCCUCAUUUUCAUCCAAUCCCAAAGGAAAGGGGACAACAUGGGCUCUAGGUCUGCUGGUGGCUACUUUGUCUAGCCUACUUGAUUUUCUCCAUGUCUCAUCUCUAGGACUGUUAUCAAUGUCUGUGUCUAUAGCUAUCACUAUACCUGAAACUAUGAUUAUCCAUUCCGACACUAGUGUCAGUACCCUUUGCAUAUUGGGACCCAAGUCAAAUGGAGAUAGUUCAAGUAAGGAUGAAACGUAGGGAACUGCAGUAGAAGAUCUCUGCUGCUACUGCCUACAAUACUACUAGAAAUUAAAGAAAGUAGACAAAGCUUUGUAGAUGACUAUAUAGGUUCAGUUCUGGGAGAAAUGUCCCUGGUGGUUAGGCACUGAAAGGGAAGUCAAACCUAAAAGGGGACCUCCUCAGAGAGUGGUAACAGUCCCCCUAACCCACAGUUUGCAGCAAGAUAUCAAAUUAAAAUCAACAAGACAACAAUUCCCAAGACUCCUAAAUUUGCUUCCAUAUAGAAAUAGUUCAGUACCGUCAAGUGAGAAAAUACUUCUUUAUGAUUACUUUCAGGAGCUGGUCAGUAACAGUCUUAGCCGUCCUGAUGACAGUGGUUUUAUGGGUCCUUUUUACCCAGCCUUCUUCAGCACAGUUGACUGUUAGCAGGACUUGGUAGGGCUCUUCCCAGAUUACAGUCAGUUUGUUGCCUUUCCAGGUUCAGAUUGGGACCUAGUUCUCUGGAUAGAACUUGUGCACCAGGAAACCCCAAAGUGAGGCUUGGGCAAUCAAUGCCCUCUUUUCUUCCCUGCAGGGAAGAAAAAGUCAAAGCAACAGAGUGUACAUAAUUUCUCAAAAAUUUAUCUCUGCUUUCCCACUACUGGAUUGAUACAGAAUGACAUUGCUUAUGUAAUAUAGGCCAAUAAGGGAGGUUACCCCCACCUACUCUGGUGAAUUGGGGAAAGGGAGAUAAAGGUUCGAGAGAAUGAGAGAGGGGAGAAGAGGUUGAUCUUCUCCUCUCUUCCCUUAGUGAAGAGAACCUGAGUUUGUCUACCUGAGGGGCAGAGUAUGUCUCCUCAGAGACUGAGUUUGGGAGGUAGAAGUUAAGGUGUGGAGGGGAGGGUUUAAGAGAAUUGACCCACUGCCUCCCUUCUUCAUCUUAGCUGUUGUUGAGAGGCAGGAUAGAUUUUCCUGUCUCUGGAACCCCAACUGCCACUUUCCCCUUUAAGAUCUGAGUUCACUCCUCAGCCCUGGUCUUGAGCUAAUUCUCCUACUUUGGGGAGAGCUGUGGUUCUUCCCAAAUCUUCAGUCCCCUACUUUGGUGUCAGAAAGUAGGCAGACCUGAUCUAGGUAGUAAUACUUUAAUGGAGAAUCACUCAGAGAAGGGAAAAAUUGGAGGUUUAGGUAAGGAAAGUGGGUGACAAGAGUCCCUAAUGACUGGCAGACUGACCCCCCAACUCUUGGGGGUCCAGGCUCUCAGCCUUGACCCCUUUUAUGGUCAGCUGCUGAUUUGUCCCUACUCCUGAGCUAAUUUGGUUAAUUGAUGGAGUUCAGAACAGAUUGGGGAGAGAGAGAUGGAGAAAAUUCUUGGAAAGAAUUUCCUCAGUAGAUGGCUUCUUCUAAAGUCUAGUUUACUGUGUUGAGGUGAGCAAAAGACUUUGAGGGAUCACUAGGAAGCAGUUGGUGUCCAGGGAGAGAUCUCUAGCCUCUUAGAUCCUCUUGUUGGUAGCAGUUUUGAGUCCUACCCAGUCUCUGUUCUCACCUUGGAAUACAAGCACAUCUAAAUUAGGAUGUUAUUUCUCAAUAUCAGAUGUACACAUAUUUUAACUUUAAAAUGAACACUGUUUAGGACAUCCAAUUGAGAGAUUAAAUGUACCUUUCUGUCUUUUUUCUACCUUCUUUCUCUGUGGUCAACAGGGAAGAAAGGAAGAGGUAUUGAAUAGAUCUUUUUACCUGCCUCUGUCUUCACUUUGUUAAGCUAUCCUAGAGUUUAAGAAACUCAUGAUUCAUAAAUAAGUUCUUUGUAGCCUCUUAAUUCAAUAUUUUAUUUUCCAAACAUCCCUCAAUAUUCAGGAAUACAAGGAAAGAGAGAGAGAGAAGAGAGAGAGAGAGAGAGAGAGAGAGAGAGAGAGAGAGAGAGAGAGAGAGAGAGAGAGAGAGAGAGAACAUAUAAAUCACACAGAAGUUUUCCCAACCUCCUUUUUGUGUGUACAUGACAACACAUUUACAAAGACAGACAACAAACAGUUAAAUAAACUUUGCUUCAGGUUUCA
RNAcentral lists this long non-coding RNA (2438 nucleotides) under Monodelphis domestica (gray short-tailed opossum). Its description in RNAcentral is "lncRNA (ENSMODG00000041191.1)". Lineage: Eukaryota; Metazoa; Chordata; Mammalia; Didelphimorphia; Didelphidae. The record is from RNAcentral.